GAUGAACGCUGGCGGCGUGCCUAACACAUGCAAGUCGAGCGGCAGCGAGGGGUGCUUGCACCCUGUCGGCGAGCGGCGGACGGCUGAGUAACGCGUGGGAACGUGCCCCAAAGUGAGGAAUAACUGCCCGAAGGGGUAGCUAAUACCGCAUAUUAUCUUCGGAUCAAAGGAUUUAUCCGCUUUGGGAGCGGCUCGCGUCGGAUUAGGUAGUUGGUGAGGUAAUGGCUCACCAAGCCGACGAUCCGUAGCUGGUCUGAGAGGAUGGCCAGCCAGACUGGAACUGAGACACGGUCCAGACUCCUACGGGAGGCAGCAGUGAGGAAUCUUCCACAAUGGGCGAAAGCCUGAUGGAGCAACGCCGCGUGCAGGACGAAGGCCUUCGGGUUGUAAACUGCUUUUAUAAGUGAGGAAUAUGACGGUAACUUAUGAAUAAGGAUCGGCUAACUACGUG
Molecule: ribosomal RNA, 451 nt
Filed under: uncultured bacterium
Lineage: Bacteria
Description: partial 16S ribosomal RNA
Rfam family: Bacterial small subunit ribosomal RNA
Source: RNAcentral